RNAcentral lists this ribosomal RNA (75 nucleotides) under Alistipes shahii. RNAcentral's name for it is "partial 16S ribosomal RNA". It matches the Rfam family "Bacterial small subunit ribosomal RNA", at positions 1 to 70 of the family's 1533-position model. The record is from RNAcentral. Lineage: Bacteria; Pseudomonadati; Bacteroidota; Bacteroidia; Bacteroidales; Rikenellaceae.
UUUUUACAAUGGAGAGUUUGAUCCUGGCUCAGGAUGAACGCUAGCGGCAGGCCUAACACAUGCAAGUCGAGGGGC